GUGAGGCGUCUCUUUCAGUGUUUGCAGUAAACCCUAGAAUGAACUGCUGUCUGCAAAGUCCUGUACCGUGACAUCUAAAAUGAAGUGGCUGGUAAAGCUCAAAGGCUGAUACGGAGAGCUUUUGUCUACCUUUAACUCAUCGUGGCUCUUCUGUGCAUCCACCUCUCCAGUGUUGCAGGGAAUCAGGUGACCUCUUACUUUCUGUGGUUGCUGUGAUGUCGCAGAUACAAUGAGGCACUGCCCAGACCCUUAUUUGCACGAGAGCCAUUCAUUCCUCCAGCUGCCAUAAGGGUGGACUGCUGCUUCAGGCUUAUAGGGCGAGGAGAAGAUGGACACACAAGACCACCACAUGAAGAGAAGGCCUGAGAGUGGGUGAUGCAUCUGUAAGCUGCAGGGAUUUCUAAGCCACCACAAGUGAGGAAGAAGCAAGGGAUGUCCCUCCCUAGAGCCUGCAUCGAGCGAGAACGACCCUACUGAUACCUCGCUUUCAGUUUCCCAGCCCCAAGAACUAUUAAAAAAAAUUUUCUUGUUUUUUAAGCUACCAAGUUUGUGACAUUUUGUUAUGACAGUCCUAGAAAUUGAAUACAUCCUUGAAACAGCUUACAGCCUUCCAUAUCCAGGCCCUGAGCUCUUGUACUUUAACUAGAAUGUGAAGGCAUAAAUUAAAUUAUUGCAGCUGGGUGACAGAAGGAUUUUUUUCCCUUAACAAUUCAUAGCACAGUGCCUGGAGCAUAGUAGGAUGUAACAAAUAUUUACGGGAUGAAUGAGCACGUUUCAUGCUUCAUUUGAGGUCCGCAGUGCAGAGGCACUUUGAUGCUAAUGGUAAAAAUCUGUGUAGUGUGUUGCUAAUGCUUGCAGUGUGCUCACUGCACCUCAGGAGAUGGCUGACUUUAGGAGGAGCCAUGAACUCGAUGCCUGCAUUCUGAGAAGCAGUGACAGGAGUCUUACUCUCACAGAGAAGUCUGGAGAUGACAGUGUGUGUUUCUUAAUUGUUAGACUGACUUUAGCUUCAGAGAAGUGCUGGUUCUACAGCCAACUGGUUUCUCUGAACUGUUUAAGUCACCUUGCAAAAUCCUUUAUUUGACUCAUCUAUAUGGUCAUUUUCUUGUAAGAUGUUCUAUAUCAAAUAUUUUGGCUUGCUUCAGGAAUGUAUAUUUAACUGUAUACCAAAGCAAGGAACACUGUUUACCUGAGUUGACACUAGAGGACUGAGAAUUCCCCAUAUAAUGCACGGGGGAUAGGAUACUAGUCCUUCAAAGAGAGCUUGUGGAGUGAAGAGAAGGAAAGAUGGAGAGUGUCAAAGAUCAGAGAUGUUCUUUCCCUUCAUUCAAAAUGCAGGACUUUAAACAGGCCCAGGGGAAAUAUAUCAUCAGUCUCUGUAUAAAGAAAAUGAAGCUCAGAAAUAUGAAUUUAAACUACCCUGGGAAGAAGUCAGGUGAAUUUUCCAUCACGGCAGUCGUUGGGAACACUGCGGAUAAGUAUUUUGAGUUAUCCUCCAGAUUUAAGCAGAGCUCAUAGGGUAUAACCCAGAACAGGCUUUUCUAGAGAAGCCACCCAAGUCGUGUCUUUCACACACUAAAAUUGUGAACCCUGGAUCGACAUCAUGCUGUGUGUCUGAAAUUUAAACUGCACCAAAUAGCUAUGGACAGUGUGCGUGCUCAAUUCUAUACCUGUAAUAAUCGCUCAGGGAGCACUUCUCUUGAACAGACAUUUGUCUAAUUAUUCACUUGAAUCUUGUAAUGUUCAUUACAAUUCUAUUUUACAUAUAAGUAAUUUUUUUUUAAAAAAGAAGGAUUUUUGUAAAUUGCCCAAAAUCAUAGAAUUAGUAAUGUCAAUGCUAGGGUGUGAGGCACAUACUCUACUUCAGAGGCUGCCUUCUUAACCACAGUCUAAGGUAGCGUUGAGACUAUGUGACCUAAAGCUUUGAAUCAGGAGAUACUCUCUGUUGGGUGAUCAAGAUUGGCCUUAUUGGCUCAUCAAAGUUCAUCAAAACUGUAAUAAUCACUAUUUUAAAUUGUUCUUAGGCAUGGAAAAAAGAAAAGAUGGAAUCAGCAGCUCAAGAAUCUGGGAAGUCAGACAGAAGCUAAAACUUAUGAGAGUUAGGGCGAGUUAGCAUGAUAGGGUUGGAGACGCUGUGGGCAGGCACAGAACGUCAGGCUGUUGGCGCGGCUGUUUGGACGCCUGCCUCUAAAACUGGAGCACCAGGCUUUGAGUCCCAGCGCCAGCUCCUAGUUUCAGCUCCCUGCUAGUGCAAACUCAAGGCGGCAGCAGAGAUGGCUCAAGAGAUUGGGUCCCUGCCACCCACACAGGAGACCUUGAUUGAAUCCCUGAAUUUGGCCCUGGCCUUGGUACUCCCUAUCCCUGUUGUAAGCAUCUGGGAAGUGAAUCAACACAUGGAGCCAUGUUCUCUCUCUCUCUUCAUUUGCUUCUCAAAUAAUAAAUAUUUUAAUAAUCUACAUUUUAUUGUGCUCCAGAUUGAAAAACAAGUUUACUAUCAGCAUUUUCAUCUAAAAUAGCUGGAGAGAAAGGCCCUACAAAACUACGUAGAUAUUUCCUUCAUGGUCACGGUGUAAUAACUCUGAACUGUCUGUAAUAACUGGGUUGAAUGUACUCUGGACAAUACACUUCAGUAUUUCUUACAAAAAAGGGAAAAUCUUCAGGCAGUGGCACUAGAACCUGAAAUUGUUUUUGUUUUGUUUUGUUUUUUUUAGAUUUAUUUAUUUAUUUAUUUUGAAAGAGUUACAGAAAGGGAGAGACACAGAGAGAUCUUUCAUCUGCUGGUUCACUUCCCAGAUAGCUGCAAAUGGCAGCACUGAACCAGGCAGAAUACAGGAACUUCAUCCACGUCUCCCACAUGAGUGGAAGAGCCCAAACACUUGAGAAAUCUUCUGCUGCUUUUCCCAGGCCAUUAGCAGGGCUAUGGAUAGGAAGUGGAGCAGCUGGAACACAAACAGGUACCCAUAGGGGAUGCUGGCAUUGCAGACAGCAGCUUUACCUGCUAUGCUGCAAUGUCAGCUCCAGAAUCUGAACUUUUUAGAUGAUAAUAAUGACGAUGAAUUCAAAGAUUAUAAUAAAAGCUAAAAUUUUAAGGUUUCUAACUCAAAUACUGUGCUUAGUGAUUUAAAAAGAUUAGCCCAAGGUGGGCAUGUGACACAGUGCGUAAAGCUCCUUUUGAGAUGCCCAUAUGCUAUAUUGAAGUUCCUGGGUCCAAGUCCUGGCUCAUUCCUGAUUCUAGCUUCCUGAUGAUAUGUAAACCAGGAAGCAGCAGGUGAUGUGCCUGCCAAUCAUCUGGGAUGUUGUGAUUGAGUUUUAGGUUCUGCAUUAGGCCUCACUCAGCCCCAGUUGUUACAGGCAUGGGGGAGUGAACCAGGAAAAGAGAGAUAGAUGUCUCUCUUUCUCUCUCACUCUCACUCUCCCCAACCUCUGUGAGUGUGAAUGUGUUUGCCUCUCACAGAAAUAAAAUAAAUAAUUUUUAAAAAGAUUAGCUCAUGCAUUUUAUUAUACCAUCUAAGGUGGCUCUAAUCUCCUGUAUACUAUGGUGCUGUAUACCAUGGAAAUGAAAUAAACAAGAAUGUAUUGACAAUCAAUAUUCAAUAUAAUAUUUUCCCAAAUGUAUUAUAAAUUCUUGGAAGGCAAGUUUUAAUAAGAUUAAGCAGACAGAAGACAUCUGGUAAAUAUCUGACAAAUAAUUUCUAACUUGACCUAAAAAAAGAACAAAAUUACUUUAAAUGAUAUAUUGAAACUUCAAUACCAAUACCAUAAAAUAAUUUGUGAUCAUACUAAUGGCUGUUAAAUUUCACAUAUUAAUAGAAGUUGCAUGCAUACCUUGACCCACUUAGAUUUUUAUACAUAAGUUAAAGCUGAUGUG
Molecule: long non-coding RNA, 3868 nt
Organism: Oryctolagus cuniculus (rabbit)
Lineage: Eukaryota; Metazoa; Chordata; Mammalia; Lagomorpha; Leporidae
Source: RefSeq, a predicted model, not a curated record